GCUCUAGCUACUGUUGUGAAGGAGCUUCGGCGUGAGUCUAUCCCUGAUUCUGUCACAACCACACCAUCAUAAUAAUUCCUAAACCACCCUCUUCAGGUAUGCCAAUGUGAUAUACCAAAAGUAAAGGAAACUUGGGGAUUCUACUACUCUUGUGGUUGUUGGUAUGUGAAUGUUGUUACUACUUUUUGUGUGAUUAAAAGAAAGUUGUAUGGAGGAAUUGUAAUUUGUUUUA
Molecule: non-coding RNA, 232 nt
Organism: Camelina sativa (false flax)
Lineage: Eukaryota; Viridiplantae; Streptophyta; Magnoliopsida; Brassicales; Brassicaceae
Source: RefSeq, a predicted model, not a curated record